UGGGGAAUUUUGGACAAUGGACGCNCNUCUGAUCCAGCCAUUCCGCGUGCAGGACGAAGGCCUUCGGGUUGUAAACUGCUUUUGUACAGAACGAAAAGGUCUCUAUUAAUACUAGGGGCUCAUGACGGUACUGUAAGAAUAAGCACCGGCUAACUACGUGCCAGCAGCCGCGGUAAUACGUAGGGUGCAAGCGUUAAUCGGAAUUACUGGGCGUAAAGCGUGCGCAGGCGGUUAUAUAAGACAGAUGUGAAAUCCCCGGGCUCAACCUGGGAACUGCAUUUGUGACUGUAUAGCUGGAGUGCGGCAGAGGGGGAUGGAAUUCCGCGUGUAGCAGUGAAAUGCGUAGAUAUGCGGAGGAACACCGAUGGCGAAGGCAAUCCCCUGGGCCUGCACUGACGCUCAUGCACGAAAGCGUGGGGAGCAAACAGGAUUAGAUACCCUGGUAGUCCACGCCCUAAACGAUGUCAACUGGUUGUUGGGUCUUCACUGACUCAGUAACGAAGCUAACGCGUGAAGUUUGACCGCCUGGGGAGUACGGCCGCNAGGUUUG
This 550-nucleotide ribosomal RNA is filed under the name uncultured bacterium. RNAcentral describes it as "bacterial SSU rRNA". It matches the Rfam family "Bacterial small subunit ribosomal RNA", at positions 355 to 897 of the family's 1533-position model. The record is from RNAcentral.